CGAGUCGACUGGAUGGUCGCUCCGCAUAGCGGGGAGGAAAGUCCGGGCUCCAUAGGGCAGAGUGCCAGGUAACGCCUGGGGGGCGCGAGCCUACGGCCAGUGCAACAGAGAGUAGACCGCCUAAGCUGCCUAGCAGCCGGUAAGGGUGAAAGGGUGCGGUAAGAGCGCACCGCGCAGCUGGUAACAGUUUGUGGCACGGUAAACCCCACUCGGAGCAAGAUCAAAUAGGGGAACAUUGGCGCGGCCCGCGUCGUUCCCGGGUAGAUCGCACGAGGUGCGCGGUGACGCGCAUCCCAGAUGAAUGACUGUCCACGACAGAACCCGGCUUAUAGGUUGGCUCAUCGA
RNAcentral lists this RNase P RNA (345 nucleotides) under gamma proteobacterium HTCC5015. RNAcentral's name for it is "Bacterial RNase P class A". It matches the Rfam family "Bacterial RNase P class A". Rfam says of the family: Ribonuclease P (RNase P) is a ubiquitous endoribonuclease, found in archaea, bacteria and eukarya as well as chloroplasts and mitochondria. Lineage: Bacteria; Pseudomonadati; Pseudomonadota; Gammaproteobacteria. The record is from Rfam by way of RNAcentral.